GUCUUUAAGUAAUUAUUUAAAGUCCAGCCUGCUCAAUAUCAAAAAUAAAUAGCCGCAGCUUUACUGUGCUAAGGUAGCGUAAUAAUUAGCCUCCCAAUUAGAGGAUAGAAUGAAUGGCUAGACGAGGUGCUAACUGUCUCAUAAACUAAAAAUGAAACUAAUAUAUUAGUAAAAACGCUAAUACAAAAAAGCAGGACGACAAGACCCUGAACGAACUUACCAUUCAGCUGGGGCGGCUUAACAAAAAAACCUUGAUCCAAAUAAUUAAUAAAACAACUAGCCCAACUAACUAAAAGUUACCGCAGGGAUAACAGCGCAAUUUCCUCCUAAAGCUCUAAUCCAAGAGGAAGAUUACGACCUCGAUGUUGAAUUAAUUUCCUAAUAUUGUGAAAAAGCAAAUAUAAGGUGGUCUGUUCGACCAUUAAACAAUU
This 431-nucleotide ribosomal RNA is filed under the name Artema transcaspica. RNAcentral describes it as "partial 16S ribosomal RNA". It matches the Rfam family "Bacterial large subunit ribosomal RNA", at positions 1831 to 2597 of the family's 2925-position model. Lineage: Eukaryota; Metazoa; Arthropoda; Arachnida; Araneae; Pholcidae. The record is from RNAcentral.